UACGUAGGUGGCAAGCGUUGUCCGGAUUUAUUGGGUUUAAAGGGUGCGUAGGUGGUCUAUUAAGUCAGUGCUGAAAUAUCCCGGCUUAACCGGGAGGGUGGCAUUGAUACUGAUGGACUUGAGUAAAGUUGAGGUAGGCGGAAUUGACGGUGUAGCGGUGAAAUGCUUAGAUGUCGUCAAGAACACCUAUAGCGAAGGCAGCUUACUAAGCUUUAACUGACGCUGAGGCACGAAAGUGUGGGGAUCAAACAGG
Molecule: ribosomal RNA, 253 nt
Filed under: uncultured bacterium
Lineage: Bacteria
Description: partial 16S ribosomal RNA
Rfam family: Bacterial small subunit ribosomal RNA
Source: RNAcentral